This 379-nucleotide unclassified non-coding RNA is filed under the name uncultured Gammaproteobacteria bacterium. Its description in RNAcentral is "contains 16S-23S intergenic spacer region". Lineage: Bacteria; Pseudomonadati; Pseudomonadota; Gammaproteobacteria. The record is from RNAcentral.
UCCGGUUUGUCACCGGCAGUCUCCUUAGAGUCCCCGGCUUGACCCGAUGGUAACUAAGGACAAGGGUUGCGCUCGUUACGGGACUUAACCCAACAUUUCACAACACGAGCUGACGACAGCCAUGCAGCACCUGUCUCCACGCUCCUUUCGGCACUCCAGCCUCUCGGCUAGAUUCGUGGGAUGUCAAGAGUAGGUAAGGUUCUUCGCGUUGCAUCGAAUUAAACCACAUGCUCCACCGCUUGUGCGGGCCCCCGUCAAUUCAUUUGAGUUUUAACCUUGCGGCCGUACUCCCCAGGCGGAGAACUUAUCGCGUUAGCUUCGCCACUAAGUCUUCUAAGAGUCCCAACAGCUAGUUCUCAUCGUUUACAGCAUGGACUAC